AGCGACGAUCUACGAAGCUUUGCCGCAAGUUGGACUCGACGCUCAACGUCGCUCCAAGUUCCAGAUCGACAACAUGUUAGGAUCUCUCAGAGACACCAGCUCAGCUAACACUCUUACGCCUCAGUCAAUACCUUGUCCUUUCUGCGGCAAGCUCAUCUAUGGUCGUAACCGUCGUCAAGGUCUCGAGCGACACUUGCGUACUCACACCAAAGAAAAACCAUACCAGUGUCCCGUGUGUCCGCAUCGCGCUAGUAUGCAGCAUAAUAUGCGCCAUCACAUAUUCACCAUGCACGCAUCGGACGAAAAUCUUGUCUUGUCUUUGAAAAACGUCAAUACUUCUGUCAGCCAGUGAAACUUCUCUCACAAGUGUAAAUAAAUAGAAAGCUGAUAGCUCAUCUCGCGGCCAGCGAUCUACUAUGUUAAGCACCAAGGCAUCUCGGUUGGGAGAAACUCGAUUCACGGGACGGGAAAGUGUCCUUAACUUAGCCCAAGGAUUCUCAUCCACCGUGAAUUUAACUUCAGAUCUUCAAGUAGGACUAAUAUCAACUGAGAUCUUUGGAACCGAAGAGUCUCUAGGUGAUCCGUCCAGUGGACGAAGUCAUGCUUACGGUGUUCCUCCGCAGAAACCGUGCACGUUGUGUGGAAAAAUAUUUGCCAGUGGUUGGGAAUUACGUCGUCAUCUGAACACUCACAUGGACAUGAGGCCAUUCAAAUGUCUUUACUGCAACCACCGCUCUAACUUCAAGCACAACCUCAAGGCACAUGUGAAAAUUCAACACAGUGACAAGCCUUUUGGUUUUUCUAUCGACGACAGCAGCGUUCAAUAAAUCAUCUUCGUCAUUUCUUUCUGGCAAAUCUGCCGAGUAAUUAAUUCAUAGAUUUCAAUCACGAGUUUUUUGUUUUAAAUUUUCUUUCGAUAAAUUUUUCAUUUUCCUUUGUCAUCUAACUUGGUUUUUAACAAUGGUUUACCCUACGGCACAUUUUAUCAAGUUGUGCGUUUAUUACUGUAACCUCAUAUUUUACCUACAAAAUCGAUGGUUGUGAUGUCAUAGAUUAUAGCUUGAAAAAUAACGAACAAUUUGUAGGCACUUCUAACCGACAUAGGGUGGAUGACAAGCAUACUGGGAUUGCACGAUUUAAAAAAAAAACAGUCAAUCCAUUUCAUUUUGUAAGCGUAAUAAUGCUCUCUGAUGCCAUCGUUGCUCCGUUACUCUCUUUACUUAAGCUUAUACUCAUUCGCCGGCAUUCUACUCUCUAUAUUGUUACCCUAGAAAGUAUUUGUUUUGCUGUCUUUGUGAUCGCAUGGUAAAUAUACUAAAGGGAUCGGACAAAUAUUUUCAGCUUCUCAUAAGUAUUUACAUUUUUUUCUUGCUCUAAUUUCCCAAGUAUAUAUCUCAUAUUUGUAUUUUCAAAAGUACCGGCAUCUAAUAACUUUGAAAUUUAUCUGACACUGUUUAAUACAAAAUGAACUUUUCGUGGAUGUAAACAUUCAUGUUCAGUAAAAUUAGCUGUUCUACUUCACCUGGAGCAGUUGCGAAAACAAAAGAUUUGUGCUCGAGAUUUAUCUGGUAUUAGGAUAAAUUGUGCUUGCUAAACAAAAUAUGCAUCAACAUAGUUUUUGAAAAAAAAAAUAAUUGUAACGCCUAUUGUUGGUGGAAACCAGGUAUAUUCUUAGUAAUUAUUUAGUUACGUGGUUAAGUAAGUGGGCCUUGCAGCGUGCUAAGUGUCUAUUAACUACUGGUUGUGCGAUAUGUAGUGGUGUGCCUGUUCUCAAAAUAAUUUCUGUACUUCGUAUAAUAAUAAGUAACUAAUUUCCUAGUGACGCUUUACCGUAGAAAUAAUGACUGUAAUGUAUCGAUGUAUGGGUGCAGUUGCUGUUCCUCAGUUCCCUGUUCGGGAGCUGUACAAGGUACAACUUUAUGUCGUGUAUUGUCUUUACAAAAAAAAUUUGGUUUCAU
This is a long non-coding RNA of Hyalella azteca, 1958 nucleotides long. RefSeq lists it as uncharacterized. The record is from RefSeq and is a predicted model, not a curated record. Lineage: Eukaryota; Metazoa; Arthropoda; Malacostraca; Amphipoda; Hyalellidae. The transcript is spliced from 2 exons.